GUGCUCACAUCAGCAGCACACAUACUAAAAAUUUUGAAUGAUACAGAGACAGUUAUCAUGGCCUCUGUACAAGGAUAACACACAAAAUUGUGAAGUGUUCCAUAUUUUU
Echinops telfairi (small Madagascar hedgehog) is the source of this 109-nucleotide small nuclear RNA. Lineage: Eukaryota; Metazoa; Chordata; Mammalia; Afrosoricida; Tenrecidae. The record is from Ensembl.